AGAUAAUCCAUUAAUGUCUCAACAUUGUUAUGCUAUUUUACCUACAAACAGCAUAAUGAAAUGAUCUUGCCUCAAAUUGCAGUCUGAAGCAUACAAAUGUUUCCUCAAAUAUCAUCUGGUUAUCACCUCCAUGCACAAGAAGCAAUCAGAGGUCGGUUCAUCCAGCCAAGAUACAGAGCUCCAUCUCGUUCUUCGAGAGUAUACUUGUUGGAGUAGCUCUCCAGCAAAGUCUUGAUAGUAGCAUUAACGUACGUGCUUAAUGGAUAGGGUGUAAAUGCAGCCAUGGCAAACCGUGAUCUCCACUUACCAAGAGGCUCAUGACGUUCCACUCUCUCAGCACCCUCACAUGCUAUAAUGUUGACAACCUCCCGAGCAAGACAGUGCUGCUCAACGUUGAUCCGCUCCUUGUGCUCCCUCGGUAGGGUAACAUCAAUUGAUUCAAAGACAGCCAAAUAAUAGUUUAAUGUCUCAGUGAAACGGGGAAGGAACGGGGCAGUAUUA
This 501-nucleotide unclassified non-coding RNA is filed under the name Hevea brasiliensis (rubber tree). Lineage: Eukaryota; Viridiplantae; Streptophyta; Magnoliopsida; Malpighiales; Euphorbiaceae. The record is from RNAcentral.